UCAUAAAUAAACAUAUUCCCAACUCCCACAUACAAACCCUCAAUUGAGAUGAGAGAGUUUGGGCAAGAGAAAAAUGAUUUUCUCUCCUCUCAUAAAUUCAUCUCAAAUAACUAUGUUACUAUCCCUCUUACCUCUAAUGAAGCUUGAAAAAAAAUGGAAGCUUGUUGUUCUUCUUUUCUUUCCUUUCCUUUCCUUUCCUUCCUUUCUUUCUUUCUUUCUUUCUUUCUUUCUUUCUUUCCCGUAUCUUCUCUUCUCUUCUCUUGAACU
This 267-nucleotide long non-coding RNA is filed under the name Trifolium pratense (red clover). RNAcentral describes it as "long non-coding RNA (TPRA_LNC007637)". Lineage: Eukaryota; Viridiplantae; Streptophyta; Magnoliopsida; Fabales; Fabaceae. The record is from RNAcentral.